AGCGUACACGGUGGAUGCCCUGGCAGUCAGAGGCGAUGAAGGACGUGCUAAUCUGCGAUAAGCGUCGGUAAGGUGAUAUGAACCGUUAUAACCGGCGAUUUCCGAAUGGGGAAACCCAGUGUGUUUCGACACACUAUCAUUAACUGAAUCCAUAGGUUAAUGAGGCGAACCGGGGGAACUGAAACAUCUAAGUACCCCGAGGAAAAGAAAUCAACCGAGAUUCCCCCAGUAGCGGCGAGCGAACGGGGAGCAGCCCAGAGCCUGAAUCAGUGUGUGUGUUAGUGGAAGCGUCUGGAAAGGCGCGCGAUACAGGGUGACAGCCCCGUACACAAAAAUGCACAUGCUGUGAGCUCGAUGAGUAGGGCGGGACACGUGGUAUCCUGUCUGAAUAUGGGGGGACCAUCCUCCAAGGCUAAAUACUCCUGACUGACCGAUAGUGAACCAGUACCGUGAGGGAAAGGCGAAAAGAACCCCGGCGAGGGGAGUGAAAAAGAACCUGAAACCGUGUACGUACAAGCAGUGGGAGCACAGAGCAAUCUGUGUGACUGCGUACCUUUUGUAUAAUGGGUCAGCGACUUAUAUUCUGUAGCAAGGUUAACCGAAUAGGGGAGCCGAAGGGAAACCGAGUCUUAACUGGGCGUUAAGUUGCAGGGUAUAGACCCGAAACCCGGUGAUCUAGCCAUGGGCAGGUUGAAGGUUGGGUAACACUAACUGGAGGACCGAACCGACUAAUGUUGAAAAAUUAGCGGAUGACUUGUGGCUGGGGGUGAAAGGCCAAUCAAACCGGGAGAUAGCUGGUUCUCCCCGAAAGCUAUUUAGGUAGCGCCUCGUGAAUUCAUCUCCGGGGGUAGAGCACUGUUUCGGCAAGGGGGUCAUCCCGACUUACCAACCCGAUGCAAACUGCGAAUACCGGAGAAUGUUAUCACGGGAGACACACGGCGGGUGCUAACGUCCGUCGUGAAGAGGGAAACAACCCAGACCGCCAGCUAAGGUCCCAAAGUCAUGGUUAAGUGGGAAACGAUGUGGGAAGGCCCAGACAGCCAGGAUGUUGGCUUAGAAGCAGCCAUCAUUUAAAGAAAGCGUAAUAGCUCACUGGUCGAGUCGGCCUGCGCGGAAGAUGUAACGGGGCUAAACCAUGCACCGAAGCUGCGGCAGCGACGCUUAUGCGUUGUUGGGUAGGGGAGCGUUCUGUAAGCCUGCGAAGGUGUGCUGUGAGGCAUGCUGGAGGUAUCAGAAGUGCGAAUGCUGACAUAAGUAACGAUAAAGCGGGUGAAAAGCCCGCUCGCCGGAAGACCAAGGGUUCCUGUCCAACGUUAAUCGGGGCAGGGUGAGUCGACCCCUAAGGCGAGGCCGAAAGGCGUAGUCGAUGGGAAACAGGUUAAUAUUCCUGUACUUGGUGUUACUGCGAAGGGGGGACGGAGAAGGCUAUGUUGGCCGGGCGACGGUUGUCCCGGUUUAAGCGUGUAGGCUGGUUUUCCAGGCAAAUCCGGAAAAUCAAGGCUGAGGCGUGAUGACGAGGCACUACGGUGCUGAAGCAACAAAUGCCCUGCUUCCAGGAAAAGCCUCUAAGCAUCAGGUAACAUCAAAUCGUACCCCAAACCGACACAGGUGGUCAGGUAGAGAAUACCAAGGCGCUUGAGAGAACUCGGGUGAAGGAACUAGGCAAAAUGGUGCCGUAACUUCGGGAGAAGGCACGCUGAUAUGUAGGUGAGGUCCCUCGCGGAUGGAGCUGAAAUCAGUCGAAGAUACCAGCUGGCUGCAACUGUUUAUUAAAAACACAGCACUGUGCAAACACGAAAGUGGACGUAUACGGUGUGACGCCUGCCCGGUGCCGGAAGGUUAAUUGAUGGGGUUAGCGGUAACGCGAAGCUCUUGAUCGAAGCCCCGGUAAACGGCGGCCGUAACUAUAACGGUCCUAAGGUAGCGAAAUUCCUUGUCGGGUAAGUUCCGACCUGCACGAAUGGCGUAAUGAUGGCCAGGCUGUCUCCACCCGAGACUCAGUGAAAUUGAACUCGCUGUGAAGAUGCAGUGUACCCGCGGCAAGACGGAAAGACCCCGUGAACCUUUACUAUAGCUUGACACUGAACAUUGAGCCUUGAUGUGUAGGAUAGGUGGGAGGCUUAGAAGUGUGGACGCCAGUCUGCAUGGAGCCGACCUUGAAAUACCACCCUUUAAUGUUUGAUGUUCUAACGUUGACCCGUAAUCCGGGUUGCGGACAGUGUCUGGUGGGUAGUUUGACUGGGGCGGUCUCCUCCUAAAGAGUAACGGAGGAGCACGAAGGUUGGCUAAUCCUGGUCGGACAUCAGGAGGUUAGUGCAAUGGCAUAAGCCAGCUUGACUGCGAGCGUGACGGCGCGAGCAGGUGCGAAAGCAGGUCAUAGUGAUCCGGUGGUUCUGAAUGGAAGGGCCAUCGCUCAACGGAUAAAAGGUACUCCGGGGAUAACAGGCUGAUACCGCCCAAGAGUUCAUAUCGACGGCGGUGUUUGGCACCUCGAUGUCGGCUCAUCACAUCCUGGGGCUGAAGUAGGUCCCAAGGGUAUGGCUGUUCGCCAUUUAAAGUGGUACGCGAGCUGGGUUUAGAACGUCGUGAGACAGUUCGGUCCCUAUCUGCCGUGGGCGCUGGAGAACUGAGGGGGGCUGCUCCUAGUACGAGAGGACCGGAGUGGACGCAUCACUGGUGUUCGGGUUGUCAUGCCAAUGGCACUGCCCGGUAGCUAAAUGCGGAAGAGAUAAGUGCUGAAAGCAUCUAAGCACGAAACUUGCCCCGAGAUGAGUUCUCCCUGACUCCUUGAGAGUCCUGAAGGAACGUUGAAGACGACGACGUUGAUAGGCCGGGUGUGUAAGCGCAGCGAUGCGUUGAGCUAACCGGUACUAAUGAACCGUGAGGCUUAACC
Molecule: ribosomal RNA, 2893 nt
Filed under: human gut metagenome
Description: bacterial LSU rRNA
Rfam family: Bacterial large subunit ribosomal RNA
Source: RNAcentral